GGGUUGUGAGGUUAAGCGACUAAGCGUACACGGUGGAUGCCCUGGCAGUCAGAGGCGAUGAAGGGCGUGCUAAUCUGCGAUAAGCGCCGGUAAGGUGAUAUGAACCGUUAUAACCGGCGAUACCCGAAUGGGGAAACCCAGUGUGAUUCGUCACACUAUCAUUAACUGAAUCCAUAGGUUAAUGAGGCGAACCGGGGGAACUGAAACAUCUAAGUACCCCGAGGAAAAGAAAUCAACCGAGAUUCCCCCAGUAGCGGCGAGCGAACGGGGAGGAGCCCAGAGCCUGAAUCAGCAUGUGUGUUAGUGGAAGCGUCUGGAAAGGCGCGCGAUACAGGGUGACAGCCCCGUACACAAAAGCGCAUGUGCUGUGAGCUCGAUGAGUAGGGCGGGACACGUGGUAUCCUGUCUGAAUAUGGGGGGACCAUCCUCCAAGGCUAAAUACUCCUGACUGACCGAUAGUGAACCAGUACCGUGAGGGAAAGGCGAAAAGAACCCCGGCGAGGGGAGUGAAAAAGAACCUGAAACCGUGUACGUACAAGCAGUGGGAGCACCCUUUGGGGUGUGACUGCGUACCUUUUGUAUAAUGGGUCAGCGACUUAUAUUCUGUAGCAAGGUUAACCGUAUAGGGGAGCCGUAGGGAAACCGAGUCUUAACCGGGCGUUAAGUUGCAGGGUAUAGACCCGAAACCCGGUGAUCUAGCCAUGGGCAGGUUGAAGGUUGGGUAACACUAACUGGAGGACCGAACCGACUAAUGUUGAAAAAUUAGCGGAUGACCUGUGGCUGGGGGUGAAAGGCCAAUCAAACCGGGAGAUAGCUGGUUCUCCCCGAAAGCUAUUUAGGUAGCGCCUCGUGAAUUCAUCUCCGGGGGUAGAGCACUGUUUCGGCUAGGGGGCCAUCCCGGCUUACCAACCCGAUGCAAACUGCGAAUACCGGAGAAUGUUAUCACGGGAGACACACGGCGGGUGCUAACGUCCGUCGUGAAGAGGGAAACAACCCAGACCGCCAGCUAAGGUCCCAAAGUCAUAGUUAAGUGGGAAACGAUGUGGGAAGGCCCAGACAGCCAGGAUGUUGGCUUAGAAGCAGCCAUCAUUUAAAGAAAGCGUAAUAGCUCACUGGUCGAGUCGGCCUGCGCGGAAGAUGUAACGGGGCUAAACUAUGCACCGAAGCUGCGGCAGCGACACUAUGUGUUGUUGGGUAGGGGAGCGUUCUGUAAGCCUGUGAAGGUGUGUCGUGAGGCAUGCUGGAGGUAUCAGAAGUGCGAAUGCUGACAUAAGUAACGAUAAAGCGGGUGAAAAGCCCGCUCGCCGGAAGACCAAGGGUUCCUGUCCAACGUUAAUCGGGGCAGGGUGAGUCGACCCCUAAGGCGAGGCCGAAAGGCGUAGUCGAUGGGAAACGGGUUAAUAUUCCCGUACUUGGUGUUACUGCGAAGGGGGGACGGAGAAGGCUAUGUUGGCCGGGCGACGGUUGUCCCGGUUUAAGCGUGUAGGUGUGUGUUCCAGGUAAAUCCGGUUCACUUUAACACUGAGGCGUGACGACGAGGCACUACGGUGCUGAAGCAACAAAUGCCCUGCUUCCAGGAAAAGCCUCUAAGCAUCAGGUAACAUCAAAUCGUACCCCAAACCGACACAGGUGGUCAGGUAGAGAAUACCAAGGCGCUUGAGAGAACUCGGGUGAAGGAACUAGGCAAAAUGGUGCCGUAACUUCGGGAGAAGGCACGCUGACACGUAGGUGAAGUGAUUUACUCAUGGAGCUGAAGUCAGUCGAAGAUACCAGCUGGCUGCAACUGUUUAUUAAAAACACAGCACUGUGCAAACACGAAAGUGGACGUAUACGGUGUGACGCCUGCCCGGUGCCGGAAGGUUAAUUGAUGGGGUCAGCGCAAGCGAAGCUCCUGAUCGAAGCCCCGGUAAACGGCGGCCGUAACUAUAACGGUCCUAAGGUAGCGAAAUUCCUUGUCGGGUAAGUUCCGACCUGCACGAAUGGCGUAAUGAUGGCCAGGCUGUCUCCACCCGAGACUCAGUGAAAUUGAACUCGCUGUGAAGAUGCAGUGUACCCGCGGCAAGACGGAAAGACCCCGUGAACCUUUACUAUAGCUUGACACUGAACAUUGAGCCUUGAUGUGUAG
RNAcentral lists this ribosomal RNA (2125 nucleotides) under Salmonella enterica subsp. enterica serovar Newport. Its description in RNAcentral is "partial 23S ribosomal RNA". It matches the Rfam family "Bacterial large subunit ribosomal RNA", at positions 1 to 2141 of the family's 2925-position model. The record is from RNAcentral. Lineage: Bacteria; Pseudomonadati; Pseudomonadota; Gammaproteobacteria; Enterobacterales; Enterobacteriaceae.